Molecule: long non-coding RNA, 2882 nt
Organism: Dermochelys coriacea (leatherback sea turtle)
Lineage: Eukaryota; Metazoa; Chordata; Testudines; Dermochelyidae
Exons: 2
Source: RefSeq, a predicted model, not a curated record
GCAGAAAGAGAAUGAAGAUUGCUGUGUGGUUUUUCACUUUUGUCCUGAACCUCAGUUGUAUAGACGUGGAGAAAGCAGAGCUGGAAUUUGUCCUCUAAUUUCAAACAGCCAGUGGUGUCAGUCUUUACUUGUUUCUCAUAGCUAGUCUGGAGGCCUCAGGGACCACAAAAGCAGUAGCCCUCCUACGAGUAGUUUCCAGUGAAGAGCAUGCUGGAAACUAUUGCAGAAGCUUUGAUAGCUGCUGCUAGAUAUUUCUUCUUGACUUCCUUUGCAAUGUUAUGCCUGUUUUUUCUUGAGCAAACCCAAGCAAGCACGCCUCAUGAUGUUCUUCACAGUGGCAAUUACACAAAGGUGUUGGGUUUAUAGUUAAAAUUCUAAAGGUUCCAUGUUUAAACUCCCCUGUUAAAGUUCUCUGAAGCAGUUUAUACUCUCACGUAGAUAUAUUGCUCCACAUUCAACGUUAUUACUGAUAGAAAAUCCCAGAGGCUGAAACUAACCACUUUUUUGUUUUUAGUAAAUAUACAUUUUAACUAAGAUGUUUCAUCUGACACUUGAAGGAAAUCAGCCAUCAUUCUACAAUAACUUAUUAACCCAGAAAUGAGUCUAUCUAGAGUAAUUUUAGAAACAAAAAUCGUUUUUUUCAAUUAGUUAUACUCCACCAAUAAUUUCUCUUCCAGCAAAGCUGCUGCUGCUCACAAACUAGUGAGCUUUUUGCAAUGUAACCUUUUGUUAACAUUUUAAUUAAGCAGUAGUAACAGAUGUGGAGAACAUUUUUUGGCAGUUAAUGACCAGCUAGAGGAGUCAAGGGCUCUGAACUCAAUUGGUCAUUAACUGCCAAGAAAUAUUUGACCUGUCAGUUAUUAGGUCUAUUCUAAACCAUCAAAAUAUAAACAUAUAAGGAGAAAAUUAAUGAUCUUGUGUGAUUAGACAUAAACAUACACUACUUAUCAUGGACACAGUAUUCUGUUCUAGUACUUGCAUUCCUCUAGAAAUUACUUACCAGUCUACUAACUGGUAAGAAAAGAGGCCUGUGUGUUCAACAUGCCUUUAAGUCUAUAGCUAUGAAUAAGUUAUUUUAUGUAAGAUCUUUGUAGGACAAAAUAGUUUUAUUGGCUGAAGAAAGGAGGGUAGGUCAUUAUGGUGCUACAUGUGAGCCUUUGGGUGAAAAUCUUACAAGUCCAAAAUUUGACACAUAGCUGCUACUUUUUAGUUUUUACCUGACCAAUAUCUCGUGGGCCAUCCAGUCCAAUUCCAAGUGGAAUAGGAAUUUGCGCAUUCUUUCAAACUUUUUUAAUCUACUACAAAUCAAAUCCAGUGACAGUGCAUCCUUCACAGGGAGGGAGGAGAGCAGCUGGAUUUGACAUCCUCCACCCUCAAAGAUUUCUACUGUUUGAUAAGUACAUACCACCACACAGAUGUCUCGAUUAUUUCAAGAUAUCAUUCCUUGUUGUAGUACCUCUCAAAUACUGGGCAGAGUGUUCAGCACCUUUUUUAUUCUGGUUCCUUCACUCUUCCCAUCACCUCCCUUCCUCCGAAAGCCUUAAGUAUAUUGUUACCGUACUACCACCUAAUGGAUAAUAUAGUAUCUUUUCCUUUUAUUAUUUUUGUCAGACAAUCCUGAAUUGACAAGUGUGAGAUCAUGAAUUCCCUAAACAAUUGUCUAGUUUAAAGAAAACAGUUUCUGUUGGCACACCCCCCAAGAAAAUCUUUUGGUUUAUUUUCCAUUCUCAUUUAGAAAUAUUUUGAUUUUGCAUUAAUAGAUAAUUUUCCACUCCAAAUUCAGCUACUUGAGUUCUCUGAACUGCUAUCUAGAAUUAUGUCAUGGAGUAGCUGCAUAUCUCUAAGAUGUAGACUGGAAAGAGCUUAUGUUCAUCUGAAAGUCUCUGGGAUGUUGGUCCGUUUUUCCUGUAUUAGAAAUGAACAUUUUUGGACUCCAUGGUCUCAUUAUUCAUUUCAGAAAAUCGACUAGAUAUGGUUGUCCCUGCAGUUGUCAGGUAGCUACUUUUUGGGUCCCAUGCUGUGGCUGCUUGAGCAUAAUCUAUACACGGCAACUGUUGAAGCUUUAGUCUAUAGUUGAAACACCUUUUUAAAUCAGACAUUUCAAAGUGUAGGAAUUUUUUUCCUCUUGACAAAAAAAAAUGCCUAAAAUUAAUAGGAAAAAAUUGUUUUGGUGGUAAUUCUCUUGCCCAGUUAGGUGGACUCUUUUCCAGAAGCAAAUAAGUUGGUUAAUUAAGCAACUGGCAAACAAUUUAUAAUGUUUGAAUACAGGCACUCCUCACUCUUUCUCAAGGCUAAGUAUUAUAACUUAUUUUGAAGUACAGUGGUCAUUUGCCUGUCUUGUUACUAGAUUUAACUUGUGAACUGCUUUGAAGAUGUUUGUUUUUUUUAGAACACACUUACAUUUAUUUUCUUUGAAAUAUAUGCCCAGUGAUGGUUUUUCAUGGCUUUAGUUAUGCCCACCCCAGCUUAUGGCAAGGGAACUGCUACAUAUGCACUCCCAAAUUGCUCUACUAGUGUCAUCAGACCAAAUUUGUAACAACCUUGAUAUUCAGGUUAGACUUAAACCCCUCGCCUCCUUUUAUCAAACUAGCAGUUGUCAUAAUGCUUUAAGUUCAGUAUCUUGACCUGUUUCUGGUAGGCCUCUUUAAAAAGAUUCUUACCUUUCAGAAACAGUGAACUACAAAUUAUCUAGUUUUCUAAUGAAGGUAAACUCUGGAAAUGAUCAAAAAGCUGAACAUGGCAAGCUUUAAUAUAAUAUAAUAUAACAUGACAUGUUCUGUCUAAAAACGUUUUGGGGAAAUAGUCUUCAUGUUUAAAUGAGAAAUUUAUGGCAAUUGAUUACUUGAGAAGGAAAAUUUUAAACAUAUCCUUUAUUGAAUAUU